ACACCCCCCCCCAAAAAAAAAACAAAGAAAAGAAAGAUCUGGGCUAGAAAUGGGCCUUCCCACUUCAAAUGAUUUAAUUAAGAAACAAGAAAAGUAAAUUUACCUUUCUCUCCCUGUUUCCCACCCCUUUUAAAGGGGGAAUUGUAUGGGGCAACUUUAUGAGAUAAAUGACCUAAGCCAUUAUUUCAAAUAUGUAAUUAUUAAAUGUUAGUGUAUAAAUGGGAGAGUUGUGGAUAGAAACAACUGAAACAUGCCUUGGAGUAUAAGGAAUAAUAUACUAAACCAGCACAGUGCUGAUGCAUGAAAGCUUCUUGGUAAAUUUCUGCCAACAGAUUUUGCCGUGCCAGAGGCAGGAUAUUGUGUGACUAGUCAUGGUGACAUAUACCAGCAGUCUAUGCUUAUGGGAGGUAGAGACAGGAAGGUCACAAGUCUCAGACCAACUCUGUUUAGUGAGAGUCUGUCUACUCCCAAAAAACACCCUCCAACCCCCAGUGUUAAGAGAGUCAUUAGCCAGCUGUUGGUGGGGCACACCUUUAACCCAGCACUAGGGAGGUAGAGGCAGGUGUAUCUCUGUGAGUUCAAGACCAGCCUGGUCUACAAGAGCUAGUUCCAGGACAGCCUCCAAAGCUACAGAGAAACCCUGUCUCGAAAAAACAAAAAUAAACAAAAAAGUCAUUAAACUGAAGUUAAGUGUACAGCCAAAGUCCAGUAAUUAAAAAGUGCUAUGUAGGGAGACACCCUAGCCCCGCCCAAUAGCAACUCGGACAGGUGCCAGGUGGACCCGGGAUCUGGGCGGGAAGAUUCUUAAGGGCUGCACGUGGAGACCUUGGCCCCCUUCUCUCUAGCCAGGCUAGCUUGGUUCCUGUAAGCUUGCUCUGGCCUGUGUUUUGCUCUGGUGUUUUCCUGAAUAAAGAAAUCUUACCAUCACGGACUAUAGGUCAUCUCUGAGCGCACGUGGUAAUCUUAAAAGUGCUAACUAUAGAUGAAAACCUUCCCACAUUUAUUGUGUCUGAAUGAUGGGAUUACACAUGUUCUUUGCACAUCAGAUCUGUACUCAUGGCAAAAAUAGACUUUUUCUUGAUCUUUGUAAAAACAGGCAGUGCUUCUUUUCCUCAGUACCAUGUUAACCAAAAACACCUGUGAGUCAGAAUGGUACCCUUGGGUUUGUGGCCUUGGAUCACCUGUGGCUGGGCCCUUGCGCUUGGGAGCCCCUGCUUUAGCAUCAAGAGUAGCUGGCAUCACAAGAGUGAGCCAUGACCAGGCCUCAGCUGAUCUCUAAAUCAGAUCAUAAACUUUUGUCUUAUACCAGAAGUUAUAUAGUUUCCACUUUUUUACACUCACCUUGUUUCCGGCCAAAAGGAAAAAAUAUAUAUAAGAUUUACUCUACUGCAUGUUUUACCUUCCCUUAAACUUGGGAGGUGUCACACAUCCAGUUCUUUUUCUGGCUUGUAAACCCUUCUGUGUUCUUCAGCUAACAGCCAUAGGCACACGAAAACAAAUAGCACAAGAUACUUUGUUUCUUCUGUGGUUACUGAUUUAGUGUGUGUGUGUGGUGGUGGGAGGUAUUAACUGUGGGGAACAGUAAACCUUUCCCUGGGCUUGCUAUUUCUGUAUCCUCAACACCUAGCAAAGUGCCUGCCUAACCACCUAGUAGAUGUUUAAUAAAUAUUUCUGAGAUAAGUUUUGUCUAAGUUUUCUGAACCUGUUCUUGACAAUGAAGAUUGUGUGUCUUACUUAAUCAUGUUCUUAGGUGUAUGUGAAACACAAUAGUUGCCAUUCAUGUCCAUGCUAAUCUUGAUCUUAAUCUCUCCACUAUCAUUUUCCUUUUCCCUAAAUAAUUACUUCUGCUCAGUUCUAUUUUUAAAAUAUUCCCAGGAAAUACUGGUAAGCCAAAUUUAAUACAGUUUAACUUUUACAAAAGCCUCUGAUAAUUUACAAAGUAAAUAGUUGACUUCUAUUCAUAGUUUCACAAUAUUAUUGAGGAUAUUUAAAAUCUGUACUAGAAAGAACAGACAGAAAUAAGUCUCAGAAUAUAAAGUACUGCUUUAAACUUGAUUCUUGUCUGAUAGCUAUAUUUUAAUCAAAAAACUGGGAAAAAAUCUUUGGAACCAACUUAUGAAGAAAAUACCUAUUAAGAUUUAAAUCAAAUCCAGCACUUGGGAGGUGGAGGAAGGAAAAUCGGAGGUUCAAGAUCACCCUAGGCUAUAUACUGAAUUCCAGGCCAGCCUGGGCUACAGGAAACCCUGUCUCAAAUUAACAAGAGUUUAGAUAAUUGAGGUAAGAAGACUAGUGUGAAUUUAACAUGCUUCAUGUCUUAUUUGAGUGACUGUGAUAUAUCACAGAACAUGCCUUCAGUAUGUGCCUUUAUUCAUGUGUUAAUGGAAUGUUAACACUGCUUUGAACACUAGGAUUGUAUAUGUUGAGCAAGAAAUCCUGUAAAAAAAAGAUUACUAUAUUUUCAAACUUUACUGGAAAAAAUGUAAAUGAAUGGAAUAUUUUCAAUUCUAAAUUUUUCCUCCAAAUGUUUGAUUCUCUUUGCAUGUACUUGCUUUUACGUAAGGUUCAUAUAUUAUUUAGGAUAAAGUCUGAUAAAUUACUGUUUUGAUGUUUGAAUCAGGUGUUCUACAUCAAGGGCAUCUCACUUUCCAAGUGUGUUUAGAAGCAUGACUAAAUUCCCUAGACCUCAUCAAACAUAAAUAUCAGGUAGUCUUAUGGAAGGCACCUGUGUCAGUGCCACCUCUCCAUUCAGUGCCUCUUCACAUUGGACCUUUGAAGUGGCAAGAGUGUACUCACAUUGUCUUAGCUAGGGUUUCUACUGCUAUGAUAAACACUAUGAUAUAGCUUGGAUGAUGAUUAGUUACUGUUCCAUUGCUGUGAAGAGACGCCAUGACCAAGGCAAUUUUUAAUAAAGAAGGCAUUUAGCACAGAGGGCUUGCUCACAGUUUCAGACGAUUAAUCCAUGAUCAUCAUGGUGGGAAGCAGGCAAACAGGAUGCUAGUGCAAUAGCUGAGAGCUUUACAUGCGGGUUCACAGACAGCAGGCAGAGAAGAUGAGACACUAAAAGGCCUGGCUUGCCUUUUUAACCUUAAAAUACAUUUUCAGUGACAUAUCUCCUCCUAAAAACCCACACCUCCUAAUCCUUCUCAAAUAGUUCCACUCCCUGGUGAUUAAAAAUUCAAAUAGAUGAGCGAAUGGGUGACAUUCUUAUUCAAACCACCACAGGGGAAGAAAGGGUUUAUUCAAGCUUACAACUCUCAGAUCAUAUUCUACUGAAGGAAGCCAGCGUAAGGAUCUGGAGGUAGGAACUGUUGCAGAGUCCAUAAAGGGGUGCUGCUUACUGGCUUGUUCAUCAUGGCUUGCUUAGCCUGCUUCCUAAUAGCACCCAGGACCUCCAGCCUAGGGAUGACACUGUCCACAGUGGGCUGGGCCUUCUCACAUCAGUCAUCAAUCAAGAAAAUGCACUACAAGCCAUUCAGGUGGGGGUCAUUUUCCCUUUUCUCAAAUAACUCUAUACUGACCAGGAUGCAUGUAAAGAAUGCCAAGACCCAGCUGCGCUGCUUCUCUGUAAUGGCUCACGUGACACUGGAUUUGCUGUUCACAAUGUAUCAAAGGAAGGUGGUGGUCACCUCACUGCUGCAGUUCAUCCAGAUUCUUCAGCCAGGUCCCAGAGCAAUGCUUAACCAACAGUCCUCGCAGGGCGUUGGUGGCGCACGCCUUUAAUCUCAGCACUCAGGAGGCAGAGGCAGAGGCAGAGGCAGGUGGAUCUCUGUGAGUUCAAGGCCAGCCUGGUCUCCAGAGCGAGUGCCAGGAUAGGCUCCAAAGCUACACAGAGAAACUCUGCCUCGAAAAAUCAAAAACAAAAACAAAAAAACAAAACCAACAGUCCUCCUCAGGACCCAUGCCAACUUCUCUAAUCAAGCCUCCUUGGAGGUGAUGAAGGGAAACACGUUUUCCUCAUGCCUCCAGGUAAUUUUUACUAUGCACUGCACCCACAAAAUUUCUCUCUGACAAGGCUUCUGCUUUUAGUAGAAGUCGAUGAACUGUUAACAGGUGGGGCUGUUGAACAUAAGUAGCAUUUUUUCAAAACAUCAGAUAUAGAAGCAUAAAUUUAUUUGGGGAGAUAUUUGCAGAAUGUCCAUGAUCAUCUCUAAAAGCUAACACAACAGUAGCUCCUAGAGAAGAUAUUCUUGAUUGAUAUCAUGUGUGAACAAGAGUGGCAUGCUGUCAAUUCUCAGGUGAUUGACACCAGAGAGCCCAGUAUGAACAAAUGGUUACAAGCGGAGUGUACUUAGUACAGUAUUGGGGUCUGGCAUUCGGUUUGCAUUUCUGUCUUUGCCCCUUUGUUUCAGUCUCUUUCUUUGUUUGCCAUCUUGACUUUUCUGAGCAGCUGACUGAUUUUGUUACAGAGUGCAUCUGUUGUUUGGCUUACACCCCUGGCUUUCUGUAACCCAUAGUCUCAGUUACAGACACUGCCAGUAUUUACCCCUUGAAGCAUAUGUAGCUAAAGCUAAAAGGAAAAAUAGUAGCCUGUUUUAAAUCUUUCACCACCAUGUUCAGGUCAUAUGAAAAAGUUUGUGAUAGAAAAAUCCCAUGUUCAGUUAGAUCCACAACCCCAAGCCCUGGUCUGACCUUGCUCAUCUUUUCACCUCCUUGCUUCUGUUCUUUUGCUGCUUUCCUUUAUCUUAUAUAAUGUGGCCACACACUGUGCCCCACCCACUAUUUUACUUUUUAAUCAUUCUCUUCCUCUGUCUUUCUUUGUCCCAGGUCUGACAUAGCUCUGUUUGGAUCCUUUCCCUUUAUCUUUUAGGUCAAGGUUUUUAAAAAUUGUUCCAACUCUGAGACGUCCUGCUUGUUUGCAUGAUGAGUACUCUUCCAACUGGUUAAACCCAGUCUCUUGCCUGACCCUGCUCUGAGAGGCUGGCUUCUGUGGACUGCAUCACUCAGGCUCCUUCGCCCUCCGAGUCUGUUUGGUUUAGGCCAGUUUGGGAAGCAUUGGCAAAAGAUCAAAGGAAGGAAAGAGUCCAGAAUAUUUACUCCCUCCCUGUGACUGCAGCUUCAUCUACUAGGGCCUGCAGCUCCUGCCAGAUACCUGUGUCUUGUAGCCAAGUUCUAGAAACUGCUUAUCUCCCUUGUACCUUCAGGCCUAGAGAUGUCACGAUUAGAUUCUCUGUCAUUCUCUGUCCCUUCCCUUUAAAGUUGUCUCCACCUUUGUAAGAACUCUCCUCAUUAAACUCUCUUCAGUUAUCCUUUGAAGGUGCCAUCUGCUUCCUGCCAAGGACCCUGAGUAAUAUGUAAGUGGGAAUUAGAAAUUGUAUUCAACCUUGUCAACAAAGAGUACCGGUCCCAUUGAUUCUACAUUAAAAUUUGAAUGUGAGACUCACCAACAUCUGCAGAGCCUUGAUCCAAUGACCUGCUCACUGGUCCUCUGUUCUGCUCAUCUAACCCACAAGGUGGAUGUUUCUGUGAUGAACUUAGCCCUGCCUGAAUCAUUCCAGCUGCCUCCCUACUUUAAGAUUAUCUGCCCACUGAAUCUAGCCACUGCAAGACAAUGGGUGUGGAACUCUCUGCUGGAGUCUUUUGGACUUCCCAGUGGGUGCACAACUGAAAAAAAAAAAGUGACAGUCUCUUCCACAGCUUCUGUCAAUAGCCAGUAGUUCCCCAAGGAGGGAAUUACGGCGUGGGUUCGAAUAAUUGUUUCAUCUUCAGAAACCUCACUUUAUUGAUGAUAAAGUCAUCUCUGGAUGCACCAUAGCUACCUCACUGUGGUGGGUGUCAGAAGAGGAACCUGAUUGGAGGAUGCUGUAGCAGCUGAUCACAGUGUCUGCAAGCACAGACUAACCCAACAUCACAGAAGAGGAAGUGCAAAAGCUUCGAAGGGUCCUUUCCAGAUGAAUUGCCCACAACACACGACUUCCCAUUAUAUUUCAGCACCAUGCACAUUGCACUCAUAUGUUACAUCCCAGAACCAAGGAAGAAAAGAUUUGUUUUUUUCUUUUAUGAAUAAAAUAAGCAUCUUUAACAUGACCCAAUAAAGCAAAACAACAACAAAAAUGGCGGCUCACUGUUGCUAGUAUACUAUGUAGAAUGGGAAGGAGUCUCUGUUACUCAUGAAUGUUAGUACUCAUGACAGAAUAUCUUUGGAAUUUUGGAG
Molecule: non-coding RNA, 6151 nt
Organism: Cricetulus griseus (Chinese hamster)
Lineage: Eukaryota; Metazoa; Chordata; Mammalia; Rodentia; Cricetidae
Source: RefSeq, a predicted model, not a curated record